Molecule: long non-coding RNA, 1760 nt
Organism: Tyto alba (common barn owl)
Lineage: Eukaryota; Metazoa; Chordata; Aves; Strigiformes; Tytonidae
Exons: 2
Source: RefSeq, a predicted model, not a curated record
GGGGAAGGGGCCAGCCCCGGCGGGGGGAGGGGGGGUGAAGAGGAGGUUUGGGGGGGGGGGGGGGGGGGUUAAACACGGUGCUGCUGCACCCAGGGGUGCUGCCGCCCCCCCCCCCCCUCCCCGGCGUGACGGGGUCCCUCGCCCUUGGAAAGACACCCGGGCGCUUUGUAUGUGCCCGAACGCGCAUAGCGACACAGCCACAUCCACACAUACGUGCAUGUAGCCGCCCGGUUUAGGCCAUAGGUGUGCCUAUAGAUACGGCCCAGCCCCCCUGCCAGCGCCCCGGGCCAGCCCCCCCCCCCCCCCCCCGUGCUGCCUUGGCCCCGCCGAGGGGAUGCCUUUUUUUAAAACAUUGCAAUGUUUUAAAUGAACUUGCGGCUAAUCAACCCGGGGGGAACCGCUAGGAAUUGCGUACCUAGGAGGGGGGAGAUGGACACGCAGCAUUCCAGAGGAACCGGUUUACCCCCACCACCCCCCCCCCCCCGCAAUAACCACGUUAACUGGUUGCAGGUUUGAGGAGAAUGUCAGGAUCUAUUCUCAAAAGCACCACGAGGAGAGUGGAAUGCAAAAUGAGUCAUUUUUGCUAAAAAUUGUUGUGUCUGGGUCUUUCAGCAGAUCUCUCUCCUCUCCUGCUUCCUCUCCCCCUUCUGCAGUGAACAUUUUGGGAACUGCAAGGAAAUCUAAAGCCUGAAUCUUUAUUUGUGCAGGCCGUUCCACUUAAAUAUUAAUUGAAUAUUUGUGAUGCCGUGCACCAAAGCCACCCUGCCAGCUCCGGCGCCUGGGCUAGUGGCAGCAGGAGCCCAGAGUCCCUUGACCACUGGAGGGAGCCCAUAUUGUGCCAGAAUUCAACAGAAAUACUACGUGGAUGACAAAAAAAUAAUAAAAUAUGAAAUAUCAGAUCAUUGUAGUCAGAACAAAGUGUCUUCUCCAGGUCAGACCGUGAUCUAUAGAUAUGUUAUAAAUGUUAUAAAAAUCAGAUUUAAAUGUCCCAUUCUACUUCAUCAGCACAAAGAAAGGAAAAAAAAUUAUUAAGAACAAGGCUUUUUUUUCCCACGUUUUGAAUAUCAGUCUGGCACCUUUCACCAGGAGUGAAUUCAUACACCAUGAUGGUGGCAGACCUGGAUUGGGGUGAUUGGCUUGUGCAAUCCCAAGAGCAGCACCGAUGCUGCUGCAGGAGAAGCCAGAGCAGCUCCCUGCUUGCUCUUGCUUAAAUGUAGGUCAGCACCUAUAGACUCCUUCCCACAAAGACCGCCCCAGAGCAGCAGGAGGUUGCCACACUGCUUAUUUCGAAAGAGAUUUUGCUCUUCUGAUAAGCCGACAACCCCAGAGAAGCAGAACAGAUCAAGCCAUUUUCACCUGCGUAUGGGACAAGUGUCCUCAUACUCGUACCUACAGGAGGUUGCCCUAGACCAAAAACUCUGCUUGGAAAUUGCACAGAGGAAUGUUCCUGGUCAAAUGUGGCCCUAAAUUAUGUGUUGUGAAUGUGCAAAUAUUUGUAAUUCAAAACACACUUUUAACACACAAAUAUUUCCAAUGGCUGGCUCCACAGAGUGAUGCCAAGUUGCUGGAGACCCUGAAAUGUCAAAAUGGAAUAAAACUGAAAGUGAUUUGUGUACUAAUAUGUUUUCUUGGCCCUGGCAAAAUUACCAUAAAAAGCAUGAUGUAACCUCAGCCACACAGACACAGAGAACCCGUUGUGUUUUGAUACCCAUGUUUUAAAAUACUAUCUGUAACGAGUAAAAAUGCAUUCUAGUAAACCA